Molecule: ribosomal RNA, 425 nt
Filed under: uncultured bacterium
Lineage: Bacteria
Description: bacterial SSU rRNA
Rfam family: Bacterial small subunit ribosomal RNA
Source: RNAcentral
GUGGGGAAUCUUAGACAAUGGGGGAAACCCUGAUCUAGCCAUGCCGCGUGAUCGAUGAAGGCCUUAGGGUUGUAAAGAUCUUUCAGCUGGGAAGAUAAUGACGGUACCAGCAGAAGAAGCCCCGGCUAACUCCGUGCCAGCAGCCGCGGUAAUACGGAGGGGGCUAGCGUUAUUCGGAAUUACUGGGCGUAAAGCGCACGUAGGCGGAUCAGAAAGUCAGAGGUGAAAUCCCAGGGCUCAACCUUGGAACGGCCUUUGAAACUCCUGGUCUUGAGUUCGAGAGAGGUGAGUGGAAUUCCGAGUGUAGAGGUGAAAUUCGUAGAUAUUCGGAGGAACACCAGUGGCGAAGGCGGCUCACUGGCUCGAUACUGACGCUGAGGUGCGAAAGCGUGGGGAGCAAACAGGAUUAGAAACCCCGGUAGUCC